Molecule: ribosomal RNA, 492 nt
Filed under: uncultured bacterium
Lineage: Bacteria
Description: partial 16S ribosomal RNA
Rfam family: Bacterial small subunit ribosomal RNA
Source: RNAcentral
AGUGAACGCUGGCGGUAGGCCUAACACAUGCAAGUCGAACGGCAGCACAGUAAGAGCUUGCUCUUACGGGUGGCGAGUGGCGGACGGGUGAGGAAUACAUCGGAAUCUACUUUUUCGUGGGGGAUAACGUAGGGAAACUUACGCUAAUACCUCAUACGACCUACGGGUGAAAUCAGGGGAUCUUCGGACCUUGCGCGAUUGAAUGAGCCGAUGUCGGAUUAGCUAGUUGGCGGGGUAAAGGCCCACCAAGGCGACGAUCCGUAGCUGGUCUGAGAGGAUGAUCAGCCACACUGGAACUGAGACACGGUCCAGACUCCUACGGGAGGCAGCAGUGGGGAAUAUUGGACAAUGGGCGCAAGCCUGAUCCAGCCAUACCGCGUGGGUGAAGAAGGCCUUCGGGUUGUAAAGCCCUUUUGUUGGGAAAGAAAAGCAGCAGGUUAAUACCCCGCUGUUCUGACGGUACCCAAAGAAUAAGCACCGGCUAACUUCGUG